AAUGGGUCCUGCUGAGGCCACCAUGGCCAUAGGUCUCAGGGACUCCGUCCACAGGCUGGAGUCACUGAGCCCAGGCCACAUUCCCUGUGUUGCUCUACACAGAUAUGAGACCACUGGCCACUCUGUGGCUCUGAAAAACAUGAUGAAAACAUCUUGUUCAUAUUUUCGUUCACUAAAAGCAGAGCCAAGGCAUUCAGGAAAACUACUCUUACUACUUACCACUCUACCAGGGAAUUAGCAAUUGAGAAGCCCUGAACAGUUUCACAUUUAUGGUAGAAGUGGAAAGCUAUGGACACACUGGCAAAGAGUAAGGCAAAAGAGAUAUCAGACCCUGGAGUUGCUGGAGCAGGUGAAACAGAUAGACGUGUCUUGUCGACAUAUCUCAGAAGUAAAUGGGCUGAUAUUAGCAUGAGACUAAUACAAAAUGCAGCAGUACACAGAAGGCUGGAGAGAAAUGCACCUAAAAAUCUCAGUAAUCUGAAAGGAGAUGAGGGUUUCAUGUCUUUUGUUCAGAGUUUUGUCCCCUGACAGUGACUCAUGACCAGUUUUCAAUACAACCUCAAAAUAUAUUUUUGUGGGUCAAGUUUUGGGAACAGGAAUGUAAGAGUAAUUAUAAA
Non-coding RNA from Cyanistes caeruleus (blue tit), 617 nucleotides. NCBI's taxonomy places the organism in Eukaryota, Metazoa, Chordata, Aves, Passeriformes, Paridae. The record is from RefSeq and is a predicted model, not a curated record.